RNAcentral lists this unclassified non-coding RNA (348 nucleotides) under Hevea brasiliensis (rubber tree). The record is from RNAcentral. Lineage: Eukaryota; Viridiplantae; Streptophyta; Magnoliopsida; Malpighiales; Euphorbiaceae.
AUGAAAUAAUGCGAAAAAAAAAAAGUGAUUAUCAUUCACGUCAUAGAGAUAAAUAAAAAAAUUUCAGUUUCAUUUGAUUUUUUCACGUUUUCAUGCCAAACAAACACAUCAUAAAAUACAGAAAGAAGUAAUCCAUGGAGAUAUAACAAAAAUUAUCAGAGUCAGGGAUGAGAUGACUGUGUAUAAAGUAAUUGACGAGUAAUAGAGAUUGAUGAUAGAAGAAGAUAGAAAGGCUUCUAGGGUUUAGCGAUGCUAGUGUACCAACUUGGCAGUUUCAGCGCCCGUACGUAGGAUCACAAUGGUGGAGAGAGAUGGAUGGAUAAUCCUUUGUACAGGAACCAAGUACUG